GUGAGGAAUAUUGGACAAUGGGCGCAAGCCUGAUCCAGCCAUGCCGCGUGCAGGGAGACGCAUCUAUGGUGUGUAAACUGCUUUUGUACGGGAAGAAACACUCCCUCGUGAGGGAGCUUGACGGUACCGUAAGAAUAAGGAUCGGCUAACUCCGUGCCAGCAGCCGCGGUAAUACGGAGGAUCCAAGCGUUAUCCGGAAUCAUUGGGUUUAAAGGGUCCGUAGGCGGUUUAAUAAGUCAGUGGUGAAAGCCCAUCGCUCAACGAUGGAACGGCCAUUGAUACUGUUAGACUUGAAUUACAAGGAAGUAACUAGAAUAUGUAGUGUAGCGGUGAAAUGCUUAGAUAUUACAUGGAAUACCAAUUGCGAAGGCAGGUUACUACUUGUGGAUUGACGCUGAUGGACGAAAGCGUGGGGAGCGAACAGGAUUAGAUACCCUAGUAGUCC
RNAcentral lists this ribosomal RNA (445 nucleotides) under uncultured bacterium. RNAcentral's name for it is "partial 16S ribosomal RNA". It matches the Rfam family "Bacterial small subunit ribosomal RNA", at positions 354 to 796 of the family's 1533-position model. The record is from RNAcentral.